AGAGUUUGAUCCUGGCUCAGGACGAACGCUGGCGGCGCGCCUAACACAUGCAAGUCGAACGAGCAAAGAGGAGCUUGCUUCUCUGAGCGAGUGGCGAACGGGUGAGUAACGCGUGAGGAACCUGCCUCAAAGAGGGGGACAACAGUUGGAAACGACUGCUAAUACCGCAUAAGCCCACGGGUCGGCAUCGACCAGAGGGAAAAGGAGCAAUCCGCUUUGAGAUGGCCUCGCGUCCGAUUAGCUAGUUGGUGAGGUAACGGCCCACCAAGGCGACGAUCGGUAGCCGGACUGAGAGGUUGAACGGCCACAUUGGGACUGAGACACGGCCCAGACUCCUACGGGAGGCAGCAGUGGGGAAUAUUGCACAAUGGGGGAAACCCUGAUGCAGCGACGCCGCGUGGAGGAAGAAGGUCUUCGGAUUGUAAACUCCUGUUGUUGAGGAAGAUAAUGACGGUACUCAACAAGGAAGUGACGGCUAACUACGUGCCAGCAGCCGCGGUAAAACGUAGGUCACAAGCGUUGUCCGGAAUUACUGGGUGUAAAGGGAGCGCAGGCGGGAAGACAAGUUGGAAGUGAAAUCCAUGGGCUCAACCCAUGAACUGCUUUCAAAACUGUUUUUCUUGAGUAGUGCAGAGGUAGGCGGAAUUCCCGGUGUAGCGGUGGAAUGCGUAGAUAUCGGGAGGAACACCAGUGGCGAAGGCGGCCUACUGGGCACCAACUGACGCUGAGGCUCGAAAGUGUGGGUAGCAAACAGGAUUAGAUACCCUGGUAGUCCACACCGUAAACGAUGAUUACUAGGUGUUGGAGGAUUGACCCCUUCAGUGCCGCAGUUAACACAAUAAGUAAUCCACCUGGGGA
RNAcentral lists this ribosomal RNA (858 nucleotides) under uncultured bacterium. Its description in RNAcentral is "bacterial SSU rRNA". It matches the Rfam family "Bacterial small subunit ribosomal RNA", at positions 8 to 879 of the family's 1533-position model. The record is from RNAcentral.